AGGGGAAUAGCUCAAUCGGUAGAGCGCAUGCUUGGCAUGCACAAGGUCCUGAGUUCAAACCCCAGUACUUCCU
Molecule: transfer RNA, 73 nt
Filed under: Camelus bactrianus (Bactrian camel)
Lineage: Eukaryota; Metazoa; Chordata; Mammalia; Artiodactyla; Camelidae
Also listed under: 1 other name
Rfam family: tRNA
About the family: Transfer RNA (tRNA) molecules are approximately 80 nucleotides in length. Their secondary structure includes four short double-helical elements and three loops (D, anti-codon, and T loops). Further hydrogen bonds mediate the characteristic L-shaped molecular structure. tRNAs have two regions of fundamental functional importance: the anti-codon, which is responsible for specific mRNA codon recognition, and the 3' end, to which the tRNAs corresponding amino acid is attached (by aminoacyl-tRNA synthetases). tRNAs cope with the degeneracy of the genetic code in two manners: having more than one tRNA (with a specific anti-codon) for a particular amino acid; and 'wobble' base-pairing, i.e. permitting non-standard base-pairing at the 3rd anti-codon position.
Source: Rfam by way of RNAcentral